CACGGAUAACAUACCGAAAGGUAUGCUAAUACGGGAUAAUAUAUUUGAGAGGCAUCUCUUGAAUAUCAAAGGUGAGCCAGUACAGGAUGGACCCGCGUCUGAUUAGCUAGUUGGUAAGGUAACGGCUUACCAAGGCGACGAUCAGUAGCCGACCUGAGAGGGUGAUCGGCCACAUUGGAACUGAGACACGGUCCAAACUCCUACGGGAGGCAGCAGUGGGGAAUAUUGCACAAUGGGCGAAAGCCUGAUGCAGCAACGCCGCGUGAGUGAUGAAGGCCUUCGGGUCGUAAAACUCUGUCCUCAAGGAAGAUAAUGACGGUACUUGAGGAGGAAGCCCCGGCUAACUACGUGCCAGCAGCCGCGGUAAUACGUAGGGGGCUAGCGUUAUCCGGAUUUACUGGGCGUAAAGGGUGCGUAGGCGGUCUUUCAAGUCAGGAGUGAAAGGCUACGGCUCAACCGUAGUAAGCUCUUGAAACUGGGAGACUUGAGUGCAGGAGAGGAGAGUGGAAUUCCUAGUGUAGCGGUGAAAUGCGUAGAUAUUAGGAGGAACACCAGUUGCGAAGGCGGCUCUCUGGACUGUAACUGACGCAGAGGCACGAAAGCGUGGGGAGCAAACAGGAUUAGAUACCCUGGUAGUCCACGCUGUAAACGAUGAGUACUAGGUGUCGGGGGUUACCCCCUUCGGUGCCGCAGCUAACG
This 699-nucleotide ribosomal RNA is filed under the name uncultured bacterium. Its description in RNAcentral is "bacterial SSU rRNA". It matches the Rfam family "Bacterial small subunit ribosomal RNA", at positions 138 to 857 of the family's 1533-position model. The record is from RNAcentral.